Molecule: long non-coding RNA, 583 nt
Organism: Thunnus maccoyii (southern bluefin tuna)
Lineage: Eukaryota; Metazoa; Chordata; Actinopteri; Scombriformes; Scombridae
Exons: 2
Source: RefSeq, a predicted model, not a curated record
CCAACAGCGGAUAUGUCUCUCACACACACUAAUCCACACGUAGGGGCACAGUGUCUUUGUCUCAUUCACACAUACACAGCAGACCUCCUCUGUGACACUCACUAUUCUGACGUUAUGUAAGUCUGGAAGUUGGGAGUGGAGUUCUGCCGACUUGAGAUGAAGGACGCCACCGUCGCCAUAACCACACAGGACGUUCCUGGCUCCUGGACUGAGCAGCUCUGGGCUAGAAAAAGAAGUUUGGUGUUGCCAGUCUGGAGAGGAGAGCAGAGACGUGACUGGUAGAGAAAAGAUGUGGGACUGCAGUAAAAGCAUUUUCCUGUAUGCCCCACAGGGGAAUCAAAGGAGCAAAGAGGGGGGAGAAGGAGAGGAUUAUCACAAAGAUCUUUUGAGAGGGGGAAAAACUUUAAUGUUAAAAAGGUUAGAGUGGUCACGUAACCUCCCACACUGAAAAAAGAGAGCAAAUGAAAGACAGAGCUCCUGCUUCCAGCUCACAGGUUAUGGAAUUAUAAAAAGUUGCCAUGGAAAUGUAAUGUUAUGUUUAAUUCAGUAUGUCUCAGGGCAAAUAAAGUAACAUUUACAUUAA